UACGUAGGGGGCAAGCGUUGUCCGGAUUUAUUGGGCGUAAAGAGCGUGUAGGCGGCCAAGCAGGUCCGCUGUGAAAACUCGAGGCUCAACCUCGAGAGGUCGGUGGAAACCGUUUGGCUAGAGUCCGGAAGAGGAGAGUGGAAUUCCUGGUGUAGCGGUGAAAUGCGCAGAUAUCAGGAGGAACACCGGUGGCGAAGGCGGGUCUCUGGGCCGUAACUGACGCUGAGGAGCGAAAGCAUGGGGAGCGAACAGG
Molecule: ribosomal RNA, 253 nt
Filed under: uncultured bacterium
Lineage: Bacteria
Description: partial 16S ribosomal RNA
Rfam family: Bacterial small subunit ribosomal RNA
Source: RNAcentral